CGAGAAUUCUUCUCAAUGUGGGAAACCCUGAAGGAGCGACGCCGCGUGGAGGAUGAAGGUCUUCGGAUUGUAAACUCCUGUCAUUUGGGAACAAUGUGCAUUUAUUAACUGUAGAUGUAUUGAUAGUACCAGAAGAGGAAGAGACGGCUAACUCUGUGCCAGCAGCCGCGGUAAUACAGAGGUCUCAAGCGUUGUUCGGAUUCAUUGGGCGUAAAGGGUGCGUAGGUGGCGUUAUAAGUCAGGUGUGAAAUCUCGGGGCUCAACCCCGAAACUGCACUUGAUACUGUAAUGCUCGAGUACUGGAGAGGAGAUUGGAAUUUACGGUGUAGCAGUGAAAUGCGUAGAUAUCGUAAGGAAGACCAGUGGCGAAGGCGAAUCUCUGGACAGUUACUGACACUGAGGCACGAAGGCCAGGGGAGCAAAC
This 424-nucleotide ribosomal RNA is filed under the name uncultured bacterium. Its description in RNAcentral is "bacterial SSU rRNA". It matches the Rfam family "Bacterial small subunit ribosomal RNA", at positions 356 to 773 of the family's 1533-position model. The record is from RNAcentral.